AGUAAGCUAAGACAUUUUCAAUUCCUAAAACCCACCUUUUCUUUCUGAAUUUGAAGUCCAUUUCAGCAGAGUAUGGAAACUCAAAUGGCUUUUAUCUCUUGUGAAAAAACCUCACGCCGUGAACCUCUCAUUAUCCCUAAUCAAGCCUCCCUGAAAAACAUCUGAAUCUCAAACCCAGCAGCACAUAUUUCCCCAAGAAAACCACCUAUCACUGACCAUCCCACUUAGCCUCAGCCCCUACUCCCAUGCCCCCACCUCGAUUACCCCUACCUCUAAAACACCCAUCCUUCAAUCGACGCCUAAAUCCGUUCCCUACCCCUUCCCACCUUCUAGAUCCUCCAAGAACCCACCCGAGAAACUCGACUCAACCACUAAUCGAAGCUUUUAGAGGCAACACCCACAAUUUCUUCCCCCAUCUCUUUAUUUUUUAUCGUACAAGUCCUUCUCCACCACGGCCCUCGUAAAAUCCAGUACAGUCCCCUCUAGGAUCUCGUUUUUUUAAUCACCAAUAAAGCAUCACCUUUUAGAAUCACCACUCGAAACCCUAAAUCAAUCCCCAAACUCACUGCCUGAAGACAAGCAAGGGCCUCCGUUGCAAACCCAGAACUCUUUUUUUUCCAUUGAAAGUGACGUCAAAGUUGAUUUUGAGAAAAAUGGACCUCUAGGGGCCUCCUCCUCUCGUACUCAAUCCUUCAAACAGAAGGACCACUUUGUCAUGAAUCAACCAAUUCCUCGCAGACCAAAUAAACUAGAGGGUACAAACCACAGUUCUGCGUUUAGUAAUCGGAACCAUGGAAAAAAUAUGAGUAAGCCAUUCUUGUAAAGAUGCAUUAGCUAUAUUCCCAGGCCAUAUCAAAUCUAACCUUCUCCAUAUUUCCUCUACAGAAGAACAAUCCUUAAAGUAAUGCUCAGCAGUCUCUAUUCCACCUAAAAAUUUUGGACACAUAGUUGAACUCUGCAACCUCUUAUUGUACAAGUUAUAAUACCUAGGGAUGUAAUUUUUAAAAAUGUGCCAUAUUGUAAUUCUUAUAUUCUCUUGUAAAUUGAUUUGCCAGAGUUUCUUGUAGAAAGUUCUAUAAUUGUCAUGAAUACCUGAAACCUCAUGUCAGAUAUCAUCUUGAAGAAGGAUCUUAUAACCGCUCCACACUGAAAAUUUUUUUGACGGCUCAUCAUCCCAAACCACCAUAUCCUCUUACAGAUUACUAGUAAUAAGAAUACAUCUUACCCUCUUCACAACCUCUUUAGUCAAAUGUGUGGUAAGUUCCUGCUCAUUUCACUGCCUUGUUUGGUGAGUAAUCAAAUCAAAUCAAAUACUAGCCUCACUGACGAAUUCCCUUUUGGAAUUUGUAUUCUUCUUUCUAGCAAGCUAGAGACCCACACAUCCUCUUAAAUCCUAAUAUUUGCUCCUGACCCCACAUGCCAGCCUGAGCUUGAAAUAAGCAAAUCUCGCGUAGCCCAUAUGCUCUUCUAGGUAUAUGAUGGGUAAGCACCAAGAUUAGCAUUCAAAAAAUCAGUUGACGGAGAAUAUUUUGCUUUGAGUGACCUCGUUAAAAGGGAAUAUGAAAACUUAGUUAAUCGCCAUCCCUGCUUCACAAGUAAGGCAAUAUGAAAAUUUUCCAUAUUACGAAAGCCUGGCCCCCAUCCUCUUUAAGCUGACACAUCUUGACCCACUCAGCAACAACGGAUACCUUUCUUUCCCCAUGUUUCUACCACAAAAAUCGACUAAUAAUCCAUUCUAACUCCAAGCAAAAUGAUGUUGAUAAUAAGAAACAUGACAUAAAAAAUGUAGGAAUAGCUUGCAACACACUUUUAAUAAAAACUUGCUUGCCCCCUAGGAUAAAGGUCUAACACACCAACUCUUAAUACGACUUCUCAACUAGUCCUUCAAAACCUGAAGAGCCCAUUUUUUAUUUCAACCCACCAUGUUGGGUAAACCCAAAUAUCGCUCUAGACCAGAAGAAGAAUGGACCCCUAAGCAUGCAACUAUAUCCUCCAUGUUCUGUGCUUCCACAUUAGCGCUAAAGUAGACAAUUAAUUUUCCAAAAUUAACAUAUUGACCCGAUGAAUUCUUAUAUUUGGCCAAAAUUUGCUUCAAAAUCAUUGCACCAUUCACCGUUGCCUUCCCAAAUAGGAUAUAGUCAUUAGCAAACAAUAAAUGGGAUAUUUCUGGACCUCUCCGACAAAUCUUAGCCCCUUUUACCACCUUCUCUCGAUGAGCUAUAUGCAUAAGGGAAAACCCUCACUACAAAUCAGAAACAAAUAAGGACUAAACGGGUCUCCCUACCUAAGACCCCUACUAGGAGAAAACACUCUUCCUAUUUCACCAUUCAGGGUCAUAGAAUAAGAAACAGUACUAAUACAAUGUACUAUAAAAUCGACCCAAAUUCUCAAGAAACCCAUCUGCAACAUCAUUUUCACUAAAAAUCCCCCACUCCAUUCUAUAAUACGCCUUAUUUAUAUCCAGUUUAAGAGCAAAAUGAUCUCUUUUACCCUAAAUUUUACGUUAUUAUGCAUUGAGAAUUUCGUAAGCAAGGAGAAUAUUAUCCGUUAUUAACCUACCUGGGAUAAAAGUGCUUUGUGCUUCAUCUACACACAAAUGCAACAUCGUUUGGAACCUAUUCACCACAGUUUUCAAAAUAAUCUUAUACAAAAUAAAGCAUAAAUUGAUGGGUCAAAAUUAUUGCAUACACAUAGGGUCACUUGUUUUUGGAAUAAGAACAAUAUUUGUUUUAUUUAUGUCAGCUAGGGACUUACCAUCAUUUAGCACCUCAAGGUAAUAAUCACCAACCUCCCGUCCCACUAUAUGCUAGUAAUUCUGAUAAAAUAGACCAGGAAGACCAUUUGGUCCCUCCGCUUUUUUUGGCGCCAUAGCUUUCAAUGUAGUAAGAACUUCCUUCCUCUCAUACAUAGCAUUUAAUCUCAAAUUCAUUUCCUUAGUAAUGCAAUGCUCCACCCCCUUUAAAAUAUGAUCAGAAUUUCCUCUACCUCACGAAGUAAAUAAUUGCAUGAAAUAAUCAUUCGCAAUGUCGAACAAACUAUCUCCGACUGUAACAAAUUGUCCACCUCUACCCAUUAAAUCCUUGACUCUGUUUUGUUCCCUUCUUUGUAACACAAAUCGAUAAAAAGACCCCGUAUUAUGGUCUCUCAACUUUAGCCAAUUUGCAUGAGCUCGCUAUUCCCAGUAUAGCUCCUCCUUAUCAAUUUCAAGAUUCAUUUCCAACUUCGUUCCUAAUAGAUCAAAGAUAUUCUCUUCAUCUCUAUCCCCCUCAUUGAGAGUAAUCAAUCGAUCUCGCAGCAUUCUAAAGUGCCCCCUUUUGUAAUUUCAACCUAGCUGCCCAAAUUUUUAGUCCCGAACACAACAACGAUAACCGUUGGGGAAUACUUCCCUAUUAGAACACCGGUACACCACACUGCGCAGCAGAAAAAUAAAAUCCGGCGAUCACAUUCAAGGAUCCAUGUGCGAGGAACGAAUUGGGGUGAGAAAGGUAUGAACGAUUACCUUUAAUCAUCUGGAAAAACAAGGAUAACUGUUGUGAAACUGAUUACACAAUUGUAUGUUGAUUCCACGCCGCUACGAAAAGUUUCGGCCUCUACAUAAUCCAUCCGAUAUGACAACAACCGGCAAGAACUCUUUUAAACUUUUCAGAGAGAAUUCACUAUAUAACAACUGCUAGACCUGAGCUCUAUUUUACUUCAGGUAUAUUAGUUUUUCUUAAAAACCCUAUAUUUCCUAAUUCGAAAAUAAUUGAUAUUUUAAUAUGAAUCAAAAUUCAUUAUAAUAAUUAAACGAAUAUAAUAAUUAUAAUUAUCAUAAUUAUAAUAAUGUUUGACCGAAAAAUUACAAUUACAAUCAUUAUAAUAUUGUAACAAAAUAUCCCAACCCAUUCUUGAAUCAUCCACCUCCCUUCUAUGUCUAAUUGGGCAGAAACUAUCAUCAUGGCCCAAACAACCACACAGAAAAUAGAAAAACGUGAGUUUCUCAUAUUUAAACCUCACAUAUAUGUGAUUUUGAGAGGAAACUUGGAUCUUCUUCUUGUGUUUCAAUAAAAAUCUAAUAUCCAACCACAUCCUAACCUACAAGAAUUGAGUAAAGCCUUCACUGGCAUUUUUUGAGUCACUAUUCAAAAAAGUGAAUAAAAUUCUCCAAUUGUCUAGCAACACGCUUAGAAAAGAAACCUGGCAAAAAACCAAGGAUCUGAACCAAGAAGUAUGUAUAAAUCAAUGCCAUAUUCAGUGGGUCUUCAUUCUCUUUCGAACAAUGAAACACCAACAAGUGAUUGUUAAAAGUUGCUCCCUUCAUAACUCUCUUAAUGUGAACCCGGUGGAAAAAGUGAAACAGAAAACUUUCUCCCCUAGAUUUGAGAUCUGAAUACCCUACAACGGAUGCCAAAAAUUCGGUAAAGUGUUACACAUGGCCGAAAAAUGCACAACACUUGUUGUAACAAAAUAACCUACCAAACAAAGAUUAGACAAACUUCUUUGGUCCUCCAAAACCCCCUCAACCCGUAAAACCUCAUUUUCCUCCUCCCCAAUGUGCAAACCCGCCAUUUCAUUUUCCAUUUAAACCACUUAAUAUAGCCAACCAAUAAACACAACAGAGAAAAGACGAACAAAACACAAGAAAAUAAUGUGAAACCCUAGAAAAAAAACAAUCCUAGAGAGACCUAACCAAAUCGUGCUAUUUAGCAGACAAAAGCAUGCCAUAUGACAAACAUGUUUGUGAUUGGAGGGGUUAUUUUAGUCACUCUUUCAUUAGUUGUCUAACGAAAGUCUAAUGUAGGCUUUGUUUUAUUGACCUAAUAACAAAUUUAACCUUCCAGUGUUUACAUAUUCUAUCAAUUUAAUCUUAAAUCUUAAAAAGUAAACAAAAUUAACCCUCAGUGUUAAUAAGAUUUGUCAUUUUAGUCCUAAUUAUAAAAAAAAUUUAAAAGUCCUAAAAAUUUAAAAAAGUAAAUAUAAAUUAUACAAAAAUAAAAAAUAAAAAAUGUAAAUAUAAAAAUAUAUUUAAGAUUUUUGUACCCAAAAUACUUUCAACAGUAUCUUUCACUUUGUUCUUUCAUUCAUUCAAUUGAAGAGUUUGAAAAUAUCAAGUACCACGAUCUUGACAUGCAAUUUCUCUCCAAUGUUUGAGUUAGAAAUGAUAAAGACAUGAGAACAUGAAAUUGGUAAUAUCUCUAUAGCAAAGAGUAAGACCGUUAGAGUUGAUGUCGUUAACCCAACCAUUUUAAUGUUUAAUUUGUUAGUCCAACAAAAAACUCAUUUUAAACUUUUAUUAUUAAAUUAAUGAUAAGAGUGACUAACAUAUUUAAUUUCAAAAAAUUAAGUAACUAUAUAAAAAUAAUAAUUAAAUAACUAAAAUAAAAACCAACUGAAUAAUUAAGCACUUUCCUUUAUUAUUUAACUUUGGCCUAAUCUAGAAAUAGACUACUCAUGAAUUAGCACAAGGUGUUGUUACUCCAAAGUGUUGGGGGUUGACCUGUAUAAAUAAUGAACAAAUAAAAAUAGAGAAGAAUGAACACAAAUUUUAUGUGGAAAACCCUUAAGGAAGGAAAAACCACAGGCGAAAGAGGUUUCGACUUUUCACUAAAUGAGCAAACAAAAAAGAGUAUAAGAUGAAAAUAAACCUAAAUGUACUAAACGUACAUUACCCAAAACCCCGAAUACAAAGCUCAAAAUCCCAAAGAGAAAAUCGGUAAACAAAAUCCUAAAUCUCAUAAGGCAUUCACAAAAAAAGGGUAUAAAAUACUCUUCAUAAUUACCACGAAACUCUCACCAAAACUCAUAAAUGACUACAUCUUGUUGCCCCCAAAGAAAAGCAUUUUUUGUGAUUGACAUAUCAAAACAGGGAUAUAAGGCCCCUUUAAAUAGGCUAACAUUAGAGUUCUAAUCAUAUUAAAAUAUCCUUAGAGUAAUCAAAGUUUAACUGGGAGAAGAAUACAAGGCACACCCACAAAUCUCCACCUUGACUCGUAUUUAUCAUGCCUCGUUUUUCAUACCCCGUCACAGGCCUAACUCAAAUUUUGGAGAAUGUCAACCAAGUCUAAACUCUGCUCGAACUUGGAAACUAAAAGACUUAUAGUCUUCAAAUCAAAGUUGUAUAAUGUAACACAAGCCAGUAAGUCCCGGACAGGAGGAAAAACAUUAACUCUCUCCACCUGACUGUAACCCUUUGUGACCAACCUUACCUCAAAACAUUAUGCGAACUAUUGGAGUCCUAAAGACGAAAAGGAGAUGAGAUUCUUCUCUAAAUCAGACACAUGCCUGACAUCUGACACGACUCCACCUUCAACCAAAUUAUAUGUGGAGAACAACGAAUCAUCACCCUUGUCCUUGGUCACAUCAGUUACCUCCGUAAUUAUUCGGAACUGCCAGAAACUUUAAUUUGUGAUCUGUUGAACUUUUCGAUAUCCAAAAUUAUUGUUGUGUCACCGAAUGAGUCGAUCUGCAAAAGCUGAACCUAGCUUUGAUACCAAUUUAUUGGGAAUUGACCCAUAUAAACAACAAACAAGUAAAAG
This is an RNA transcript of Gossypium raimondii (Peruvian cotton), 6515 nucleotides long. It is a transcript of the gene named putative disease resistance protein RGA4, with no coding region annotated. The record is from RefSeq and is a predicted model, not a curated record. Lineage: Eukaryota; Viridiplantae; Streptophyta; Magnoliopsida; Malvales; Malvaceae. The transcript is spliced from 4 exons.